AUUAAACCAUGGCCUCCAGAAUGAAUCUCUCUGAAGAACAUGACACACAGAUAAAGACAGUCAAGAGUCAGAUUCAGGGGCGUGAAUCAGAUUUAUCUGAACACAUGGAUGUGUCUGUGAGGAAAAACCCAGCGAUGGAUGUUUCAGAUCUCUGCAGAGAGGAAGACUCUUCUGUUGAGUCCAGUCUGUGUCAGAAUGAAUCUCCUGAACCCAGCUGUGUGUCCAUCAAGAGUGACCGGUCAAUGGGUCAACCAAUUCAUUUCAGCUCUGGAGACACAUCUGCUGAUCUGAGUCAAAAACAUAAAGGACGAGAAUCACAUACAGCAAAGAAGAAAUUAGACUCCAUUUUCAAGGAGCUUGAGCACAAAAUCAUCUCUGAGUUAAAAAGCUUUAAGAGACUACUGAGUCCAGAUUACCCAGAAUGCUCUGAAAGAGACCGUUCUGAUGAUGAGGGUCAUAACAGAGUCAGAGAGGGUCUUCUGAAGAUCACACUGCUCCUCCUGAGGAAGAUGAACCAGACAGACCUCGCUGACACACUACAGACCAGUAAAGAGCUCUGGAUCAGCAGAUUAUAGUCUGUGUUUUUAUUAUCAUCCUUCUGUCUUCAGUCACUAAUGUUCCUGAAUGUCACGACACAAUCUAAUAUCUAACAUAUCAAACCUAAAAAUACAUUUCUAAUAUAUUGCUCUGUCAAUAACAACAAUUAUUUUCCUUUGCUCAGAACUGAUGCCUGUGUAUCAACAAAAACUCAGAUCCAGACUACAGGAUAAAUAUGAGAGACUCAGUGAAGGACUGUCCAAUCAUGGAGACUCAACACGUCUGAAUGAGAUCUACACAGAGCUCUACAUCACAGAGGGAGGCAGUGGAGAGGUCAAUAAUGAACAUGAGGUGAGACAGAUUGAGACAGUGUCCAGGAGACCAGAGACACAGGAGACACCAAUCAACUGCAAUGACAUAUUUAAACCCUCACCUGGACAAGACAAACCCAUCAGAACUGUGCUGACUAAAGGAGUCGCUGGGAUUGGAAAAACAGUCUCUGUGCAGAAGUUCAUUCUGGGACUGGACUGAAGGAAAAGCCAAUCAGGACGUUCAUUUCAUAUUUCCACUUCCUUUCAGGGAGCUGAACUUGAUACAGAAACAUCUCAGUCUUGUGGAUCUUCUAAACCACCUUCACACAGAAACCAAAGAAUUAAAAUCAGCAGAUUAUGAGGAUUACAAAAUCAUGUUCAUAUUUGAUGGUCUGGAUGAGUGUCGACUGCGUCUAGAUUUCCAAAACAGUCGGAGCUUGUCUGAUGUGACAGAAUCAGCUUCAGUGGGAUGUGCUGCUGACCAACCUCAUCAAGGGGAACCUACUUCCUUCUGCUCUCCUCUGGAUCACUCUCGACCAGCAGCAGCCAAUCAGAUCCCUCCUGAGUGUGUCCACCAGCUCACAGAGGUACGAGGAUUCAACGACCCUCAGAAGGAGGAAUAUUUCAGGAAGAGAAUAAAUGAUCCGAGUCUGGCUGAUAGAAUCGUCACACACAUCCGAUCAUCAAGAAGUCUGUUCAUCAUGUGUCACAUCCCAGUCUUCUGCUGGAUUUCAGCCGCUGUUCUGGAGAGGAUGAUGGGUAAAGCAGAGAGUGCAGAGAUCCCCAAGACUCUCACACAGAUGUUCACACACUUCCUGAUCUUUCAGACCAAACUGAAGACACAGAAGUAUGAUGGGAAAAUAUGAAAUCGAUCCUGAUCAGGCUAGAAAGACUAUUCUGUCUCUAGGAAAACUGGCUUUUGAGCAGCUGGAAAAAGGGAACCUGAUCUUCUACGAGGAGGACCUGAAAGGAGAGCCGGCAUUGAUGUCAGAGAAGUGUCCGUUGUACUCAGGAAGUUUGUACCCAGAUCUUCAGAGAGGAGUCUGGACUGCAGCUGGGGAAGGUGUUCAGCUUUGUUCAUCUAAGUAUUCAGGAGUUUCUUGCUGCUUUAUUCAAGCUGCUGUCCUUUUCUGAACAAAACACAGGACUGAAGAAUGUGUUCAGGUCACCAAUGAUCAGUUUACUGAAGAGAGAAGUGGACAAGGCCUUACAGAGUGAGAACGGACACUGGGAUCUUUUCCUCCGGUUCCUUCUAGGUCUCUCUCUAGAGUCUAAUCAGACUCUCUUACAAGGCGUCCUGAGAAAGACAAGUAAGCAGCUCUGAUAUCAAUCAGGAAACAGCUGCAUACAUCAAACAGAAGAUCAGGGAGAAUCCCUCUCCAGAGAAAUCCAUCAAUCUGUUCCACUGUCUGAAUGAACUGAAUGAUCGUUCACUAGAGCAGGAAGUACAAACAUACCUGAGCAGAACAGGUAUUGAUCGUCUCUCUGGAGUCUCUCUGUCUGCUGCUCAGUGGUCGGCUCUGGUGUUUGUGCUGUUGAACUCAGAAGAAGAUCUGGAUGAGUUUAAUCUGAGGAAAUAUGAUCGAUCAGAAGAAUGUCUUCUGAGGCUGCUGCCAGUGAUCAAAGCAUCUAGAAAGAUUGAGUGAGUAUUUUACAGUGUCUUUGUUUUAUUUACUUUAUUUUAUACAGUAGGCCUGUGUUUCUCUUCACUGUUUCUGUAUAUUUUGAGCUCUUUCUUAUUUGACACACUCAGCUAACAUCACAGAUCGCUCUACUAAUGAUCUGAUGAGUUGAAUCAAGUGUGUUUGAUAAGAGAGAUUCAUCCAAACUCUGCAAAGUUGAGGUGUCUUCAGGAACAGGGUUGUGACUCUGAUUUUACGAAUAUUGGAUUGAGAUCAUCAUCAAUCACUUAAAAGUUGCAUUCAGGUUUGUUGGAAUAAGUGAAAAUAACUCAAUUUCAAUCUAAUAAUUCAUGAAGUAGCCAGCUAUGAGGUCACCGAGGUCCGGACCUGGGUAAAUUUUUCAUGUUCGAAAAUUACAUUUGUUCUCUGAUUGACUAAUUUGCUGCUAAACUCCUCAUAUGAAUGUCUGCAUGUAUAAUUCAUGAUGUUUAGCGGCCGUUGUGAUCACUGCGAGACUCUUCUGAAGUGAACGAUGUCUUCAGAGAUUUGUGAGUGAGCGAGAUCCAGCUAUUAUAAGCGUUUUUGACUUGUUUUUGCACUAAAUGUAACACUUUAGAAAGUUAAUAAAGUAGGAAGUUGCGGUUUAGGGUCAGCGAUAACUUCAUUUUAUCUAAUUUCCAAAAUAUUUGAAAUAAUUUUGUUUAUUUUAUUUAUUGAUAUGUUUUUGUUUAUUUUAAUAGCAACAUCUGGCAACAUUGCAUCGCCGGCAUAAUCUGGCAGUUUUCAAAAAAAAGCAGCAGCUUUAUCUAUAGAUAAAAGUGCAAAUAUCUAUAGAUUCUAUUCAUACAAUGUUAAAAAGGCAGGAUUUUCUGCUAUUUAUAUUACUUAAUGCAAAUAGAGGCAAUUAUCUGCACCUCAGUAUUGUAGUGUAUUAUAAAAUAGUAUGCAAUAAUAACUUAUAUUAUUAUAUUAAUAAAUGAUUGAGUGUAAAUUUUAAUUUUAAAAUAUUAAAUGGACGUCAUCUUAUUGGGACAAUAAACCCCAACUUACCCUGACCCUACCCGAUACUUUUUCAACUUUUUGAUUAUUUCCUUCAUUUUCUUUCAAAAAAAUGCAUUUCUGAUGUAGCCCGGGUCGAUCGCGUCAGAAAGAACAUGACAGAGAUUUUAUCAUCUGCAUCACUGAAGCAGAUCAAGAAUCAGAUAUCUUUAGUCAUUUUUAACAGCUGAUUCACAUGUUGUGGGGCAGAGCUAGUUUAAGUAGCCUCUGUGAACAAGGUUCGCUAUCCUCAAUCCCAAAUGCAAGCUGAAAGAUAUUAUUUGACUUUUUAAUCUACACCACUGCUUUUACUUAACUACAUUUCAUAAAACAUAUCAUUACUCCUUAUAAUAUAUCACGUGCUCUGAGACGCAGAAGCGGUGUCUGAUUCAAGAACGAACUGAUUAUUUUACUGUCUAUGCUUAAACCGCACCAAAAGAUUCAUUCAGGAAUUAGAAUGAUUCGAUUGCAGCUGUUCUCGAGUCGACAUCUCACUGAUUCAAAUGAACCGUUUAGUGCGAGUCUCCAGUGAACUGAAUUCACAACCGGGAGAUCUUGUGAGCGCGCGACUGAUGCUGCUAAAAGUAAGUUAUUAAUGUCGAAUUAUAGGAUUAAUUAUUGAAACUGAAAAUCAUAUUUAGGUCAAAACUGUUAGUUGUUUGUGAGCUAAAUCUGCUGUAAAGAGUGAUCUAUUCAAGCUCACUGAAAUGCGUGAAGUCAGACACAUCAAUCAGUGUCACUCAUGUUUUAGGUAAAAAAAAAAAAAAAAAAAAAAAAAACACACAUUAAAAUAACACAAAUUAACGACAACAGCUUUAUUAGCCCUAUGUGACGUCUGUUUUCAUAUUGUUUAUCAACAGUAUACAUUUUUAAAUAGUUUGGAUUAACUAGCCGAGUAGACAGAUAUGAAUGUUUCUUCAUAACCAAACUGAAGUAAAUAUUGUUAGCUGAUGCUAACUGUCUAGCUAACAAGCUUGCUGGUGCUUAGUUAAGGUAAUCUUUAGAUAUAAAGUUCAAGUAUUUUUAUUGAACCAUCUAGAUAGAUUAGAUCUGGGGGAAAAGACAGGAUGUGAUGUUCAGAACAUGGUAACUACAGUCAGUGGUUAAAUUGGCUUUUGUAGGGAAGGGGAGCCCUUAUUUACGUCACCAUUAAAGAUCGUGCCAUAAAAUGACUUAAUGUGUUUUACACCAAAGGGGCUAUUUUUAAGUACAAUGCAUUAUGAAACAACCCGAACAACACUUGUUCAGAUGUGUGACG
This is a long non-coding RNA of Carassius auratus (goldfish), 4766 nucleotides long. Lineage: Eukaryota; Metazoa; Chordata; Actinopteri; Cypriniformes; Cyprinidae. The record is from Ensembl.